GCCGGGACCCGCCGGGACCGGCCCUGGCAGCAGCCGAUCCCCUGAGGGAUCCCCGGGGAUCCGGUGUGCCCGCUCCGGAGGGGGGGGGGGCGCCGUCCCGGGUCGCGGAGCCUCCCCGGGAGUCAAAGCCCAAUCGGGGGAUCGGCUCGGGGAGGGGGGGGGCAGUCCCAGUCGAGGGGAUCCACUGGGAUCGGUUUGGGGGGGGGGACAGUCCCAGUCACAGGGACCCCUUGGGAUCGGUUGUGGUGGUGGGACGGUCCCAGUUCAGAGGAUCUGCUGGGAUCAGGUGCGGGGGCAGUGCCAGUUCACAGGGAUCCCUGGGGAUUGGUGGGGUCCCGGUUCCCAGGGAUCUGCUCAGUUCCCAGGGAUCGGUUGUGGUGGUCAUGGGCAGUCCCAGUUCCCAGGGAUCCGCUGGGAUCGGUUGUGGUGGUUGCGGGCAGUCCCAAUUCACAGGGAUCCACUGGGAUCGAUUGUAGGGUGGGAGCCAGUCCCCCUUUGGGGCGAUCUGCUGGGACUGCGGUAGGGAGCCUAUCCGCCUGCAGGUGGAUCUGCCGGGAUCAGUCGUGGGGGAAGCCAGUCCCGAGGUGUGUUGAUCCCCUGGGACCGGCUGUCACCGGGACACCAUCCACGGCUGCCUGGGAUCUGCCGUGGCAGGGAUCGGAUCCCCGCUCCGGGGGAUUUGCUGGGAUCCGCUGGGAAGGGAUCCCUGCUCCCCAGGACCUGCUGGGAUCUGGCCUUGAUCUAGGUAGAGCAGGGAUCCCGGGGGGAUCCAGUGGAUCCCUUGGCCCCAACCUGGAGAGCAGAGUGGGCAGUCAGGCUUUGGGGGGCUGGGGGAUCCCAGGGAGGUUUGGGGAUGUUUGGGGGGAUCCCAGGGAUGUCUGUCAAUGUUUUGGGGGAUCCAGGGGUCUUUUGGGGGGAUCCCAGGGAGGUUUGGGGAUGUUUGGGGGUUCCCAGAAUUGUUUUCGGGAAGAGUUGGGGGAUCCCGGGGUGCUUUGGGGGAUCCCAGGGAGACCUGGGGGUGUUUUGGUGUCCCCGGAGUGUUUUCGAGGGUGUUUGGGGUUCCCCGGGGGUGUUUGGGGCAUCCCAGGGAGGCCUGGGGGUGUCCUGGAGGAUGCAGGGUGUCUUGGGGAUGUAUUUGGGGUGUUCAGGGGGUCCCGGGGUGUGCUCUGGGGGUCCCAGGGCAUUCUCGGGGUGUUCUCGAGGUGCUCCAGAGGGCCCGGGGUGCUCUCAGGGGUGUUUUUGGGCUGCUCAGAGGGUGUUCCCAGAGUGUUCCGGGAUGUUCUCGGGGUGUUUUCAGGGUGUCCCGGGGCAUUCUUGGGGUGUUUUCGGAGUGUUCUGGGAUGUUCUCAGGGUGUUUUCGGGGUGUUCCAGGAUGUUCUCAGGGUGUCCCGGGGUGUUCUCGGGGUGUUUUCAGGGUG
This 1418-nucleotide long non-coding RNA is filed under the name Apteryx haastii (Great spotted kiwi). Its description in RNAcentral is "lncRNA (ENSAHAG00000010705.1)". The record is from RNAcentral. Lineage: Eukaryota; Metazoa; Chordata; Aves; Apterygiformes; Apterygidae.